AUAUAAUAUAUUAUGUACAUAAUGUAUAUUAUAUAUAAUAUAUUAUAUAUAAUAUAUUAUAUAUAUAACGUGACAUAUAAUAUAUAUUAUUUAUAUAUAAUGUAUAUUAUAUUUUAUAUAAUAUAUAUUAUACAUAAUAUUAUAUAUAACAUAAUAUAUAAUAUUAUGUAUAAUAUAUAUUAUUAUACAGAUAUUAUAUAUAAUAUAAUAUAUAUAAUUAUAUAUGAAAUAUAAUAAUGUAUAAUUAUAUAUGUAAUAUAAUAAAGUAUAAUAUAUAAUAUACAUUAUAUAUUAUAUAAAAUAUUGUAUAAUGUAAUAUGUAAUAUAUAGCAUAUCAUAAUAUAAUAUAUUUUAUAAUAUAAUAUAUUAUAUAUU
Molecule: long non-coding RNA, 375 nt
Filed under: Homo sapiens (human)
Lineage: Eukaryota; Metazoa; Chordata; Mammalia; Primates; Hominidae
Description: non-protein coding lnc-RIMBP3-6:2
Source: RNAcentral